UUUCAUCAAGAACUAAAACCCUUUAUUAUAACAAAAUGAUUUGAAUAUACAUUUUUCAUUGUUUGAAAAUAAUGAAAUAUAGCUUCGUAUGUUCAAAAUCAUACAUGGUUUUGAUAACAAGCUAUAAACAUAUCUGAAUUGAUAAAUGAGCCAUUGAUUGGGAAAAAGAAGGUGAUCCAAAAUAUUCUCUCGCUAAAAUAAUUUGAAUAAUGCAAAAGCAAGAAGCCGGAAGAAUAAAUAUAAACUAUUUUAGAUCCUCGAAGUAUCAACAGCACUACAUUCAUGGUUUUAACAUAAUCUAAGUACAGGUUCCUCUAAUUCCACAAAGCAUGUUAAUUCUUUACUUUUUCUAUUUUUUCCUUCAAUUCUUUUAUCCUUAAAAAGUUCGUUCUCGAGUUGAGAAAUGCAAGGUCCGAUCUCUGGUGUGACCAUUUAUUAAGUUGUAUACUACGCAAAGGAGAAGCAAUUAUAACGGUAGUA
Non-coding RNA from Schizosaccharomyces pombe (fission yeast), 480 nucleotides. Lineage: Eukaryota; Fungi; Ascomycota; Schizosaccharomycetes; Schizosaccharomycetales; Schizosaccharomycetaceae. The record is from the annotation of a GenBank genome assembly.